This 301-nucleotide ribosomal RNA is filed under the name uncultured bacterium. Its description in RNAcentral is "partial 16S ribosomal RNA". It matches the Rfam family "Bacterial small subunit ribosomal RNA", at positions 509 to 807 of the family's 1533-position model. The record is from RNAcentral.
CAGCAGCCGCGGUAAUACGAAGGGGGCUAGCGUUGCUCGGAAUGACUGGGCGUAAAGGGCGCGUAGGCGGAUGGUACAGUCAGACGUGAAAUUCCUGGGCUCAACCUGGGGACUGCGUUUGAGACGUGCGAUCUAGAGUUUGGAAGAGGGUCGUGGAAUUCCCAGUGUAGAGGUGAAAUUCGUAGAUAUUGGGAAGAACACCGGUGGCGAAGGCGGCGACCUGGUCCUUGACUGACGCUGAGGCGCGAAAGCGUGGGGAGCAAACAGGAUUAGAUACCCGAGUAGUCCCUGUCUCUUAUAC